Molecule: long non-coding RNA, 333 nt
Filed under: Brassica napus (rape)
Lineage: Eukaryota; Viridiplantae; Streptophyta; Magnoliopsida; Brassicales; Brassicaceae
Description: long non-coding RNA (BNAP_LNC025192)
Source: RNAcentral
GUGGGGGAGGUACAAAGUAUUUGAUCAUGUUUGCUUUGAUAAUUUUGAGUCUCAUGCAUUGCAUUGCAUUAUACAUACAUAUAUGCAUAGAAAAACCAAAAAAAUUGAGAAUUUUGAAAAAUACAAAAAGAAUCAUGUAGUUGCAUCACUUGCAUUCUUAGGAUUGAGUCUAAAGCAUAUAGGUUGCAUUCACUUGCAUAUGGAGCAGCAGUUGAAUUGUAAAGAACACUUGUUUGCACUGAAAUUGACACUCUAGCUAAACAUAUCAAGUAGCUUAGGCAUCUCUUGAAAUCCUUGCAUGCUUCGAGCCUUGAAAACUCUUCUUGAAGCAUG